GGGAGUCAGUAACGCCCGAAGCCGGUGACCCAACCUAACAAGGAGGGAGCCGUCGAAGGCGGGACGGAUGACUGGGGUGAAGUCGUAACAAGGUACC
Molecule: ribosomal RNA, 97 nt
Filed under: uncultured bacterium
Lineage: Bacteria
Description: partial 16S ribosomal RNA
Rfam family: Bacterial small subunit ribosomal RNA
Source: RNAcentral